This 141-nucleotide long non-coding RNA is filed under the name Calidris pugnax (ruff). RNAcentral's name for it is "ZEB2 antisense RNA 1 conserved region 1 (ENSCPUG00000007958.1)". It matches the Rfam family "ZEB2 antisense RNA 1 conserved region 1". The record is from RNAcentral. Lineage: Eukaryota; Metazoa; Chordata; Aves; Charadriiformes; Scolopacidae.
CUAUAAAAGAUGUAACAGAUGCAAACUGUAAAACAAGGGCAAUUAACCCUUGCUCUCCUGAGCAGGAUCCCCCCCCCUCCCCUCUUCGCCUUCGCAUCUAUUGUCUUCUCCUGCACUGGGAGUUUUACACAAAAACCUAAA